RNAcentral lists this ribosomal RNA (1305 nucleotides) under Triticum aestivum (bread wheat). RNAcentral describes it as "partial small subunit ribosomal RNA". Lineage: Eukaryota; Viridiplantae; Streptophyta; Magnoliopsida; Poales; Poaceae. The record is from RNAcentral.
AUGAAUAAGUCUCUCUUAGCCCCUUACACAGCGGAAGAGGUGAAGAAAGCCCUUUUCUCCAUGGGGGAUCUCAAAGCCCCAGGACCGGACGGGUUGCAUGCCAUUUUUUACAAAUUUUUUUGGCCAGUCCUGGGUGAUGAUUGGGUUCGAGAGGUCUUACAGGUAGUGAAUUUGGGCGUGAUACCGGAGGGGUGGAAUACAACUACAAUAGUGCUCAUUCCCAAGGUGGACAAUCCAGAAAAGAUCACUCAGUUCAGACCAAUCAGUCUCUGCAAUGUUUAUAAGAUAAUAUCAAAGAUGUUGUCUUCAAGACUCAAAUUGUUAUUGCCUGAUGUAAUCAGUGAGACCCAAAGCGCCUUUGUCCCGGGUCGAAUCAUUACGGACAAUGUCAUAGUUGCGUACGAAUGUUUACACACAAUGAAGAAGAGGAAGAAUGGAAAGGUGGACACAUGUGCUGUUAAGCUGGACAUGCACAAGGCGUACGAUAGAGUUGAAUGGUCUUUCUUGGAAGCAAUGCUAAUCAAGCUUGGUUUUGAUAGCAGAUGGGUGAAGCUAAUAAUGGCCUGUGUACCAUCAGUUGAAUAUAAGGUCAAGUUUAAUUCCAAUGAGACCAAUCCAUUUAUGCCAACAAGGGGAUUACGCCAGGGCGACCCUCUAUCUCCGUACCUAUUUCUGUUAUGUGAGGAGGGCCUAUCCGCACUCAUUUCCCAUGAGGAAGCCGAGGGAAACUUAAAUGGUGUUCAGGUGUGUCGUGAUUCUCCUGUCAUAUCUCAUUUGUUAUUCGCUGACGACUCACUUAUCUUGAUGAAGGCUACUCCGCAAAAUGCACAUUCUUUGAGAUCACUUCUGGAUGAUUAUUGUGCAGCAUCGGGACAGUUGGUGAGUGAGGCAAAGUGCUCUAUUUUCUUUAGUCCGAAUACAGAUGUGGAUGUUAAAGCAGAGGUAUGCCAAAUCCUCAACAUAAUGACAGAAUCAUUGUCGGAGAAAUAUCUGGGUCUACCUUCGAUGAUUGGAGUGGAUAAGGUGACUUGCUUUGAGCAUAUCAUUGAAAGAUUUCAAAUCAUGAUCAAUGGAUGGAAGGAACGGACCCUCUCUUUUGGUGGCAAAGAAGCUUUAAUUAAAGCGGUGGCCCAAGCCAUCCCAACAUAUGCGAUGAGUGUGUUUAAAUUCCCAAAGAAAAUUUGUAAGGGGAUCACUGACGCAAUGUCGCACUAUUGGUGGGGUGACGAAGAAGACCGGAGGAAAAUGCAUUGGUUUGCAUGGUGGAAAUGUGUGUGCCGAAGGAGAAGGGUGGAAUGGGUUUAA